UACAUAUUCCAGCAUUUAUUAAAGUUUGUCACUACCCAUUCAUUGUCAACCAAACACUCCGUCGUUUCUGUUGUUGUUUUGGUAUUUAUACUUUCGACUGACCAAUGACAGAGCUUGUUACAUAUUGUUUACCAAUCGGCAACCAUGGAUCAUAUUAGGGAAACUCCCGUAAUGUUGAUACUGUUUGUAAACAAUGAUUGAUCUUCAUCAAUAAAGAUGGGUUUCGACUUUAAAUUUAUUAGUAGAUCAUUAGAACAGUUUUAUUUGAGUUUAUAGUAUAAUAAG
RNAcentral lists this long non-coding RNA (285 nucleotides) under Mytilus galloprovincialis (Mediterranean mussel). The record is from RNAcentral. Lineage: Eukaryota; Metazoa; Mollusca; Bivalvia; Mytilida; Mytilidae.